Molecule: long non-coding RNA, 3149 nt
Organism: Nematostella vectensis (starlet sea anemone)
Lineage: Eukaryota; Metazoa; Cnidaria; Anthozoa; Actiniaria; Edwardsiidae
Exons: 2
Source: RefSeq, a predicted model, not a curated record
ACUUGAAAGUGACACAAGCGUCGGAACAGUAAGCGAAUCUGGAUCAUUACUGUUCCCUUGUCUUAACUAUUCACAAGGCUUUCACACGUUUUUAAGUGCUCCUCAUACAGCACUAACAACAGACGUAACGGAAGUCACGAAUGCUAAGCUCACACGUUCCACUGGAUCACGUACACACGUGUUCAUUUCAAUAUUUCUUCUGAUAAUUUGAACAAAGGUGUGGCUGACCACGGCUCUUUAAUUCCAUCGCGUGUACUUACCCGCCAAAGUCGACGUUGAAAAGCCUCUGCAAGAGUUCAUACGUGAGAAGAGUAACUCCAAACUGAGGGGAUGACCUCAAGACGCGAGCUAGAGAGAAGGGAGAAGAAACCAUCAGCGAACAACAGCCAAGAACACCAUCAGCGAACAGUCAUAAUUAGACAAUUAACAAAGAAAACCAUCAGCGAACAGCCAUAGUCAAACAAACAACCAAGAAAACAAUCAGCGAACAGCCAUAAUCAGACAAACAACCAAGACAACAAUCAGCGAACAGUUAUAAUCAGACAAACAACCAAUAUAACCAUCAGCAAACAGCCACAAUCAGACAAACAACCAAUAUAACCCUCAGCGAACAGCCAUAAUCAGACAAACAACCAAUAUAACCAUCAGCGAACAACCAUAAUCAGACAAACAACCAGAAAACUGCCAGCUAACAGUCACAAUCAGACAAACAACUAAGAAAACCAUCAGCGAACAGCCAUAAUCAGACAAACAACUAAAAAAACCAUCAGCGAACAGCCAUAAUCAGACAAACAACCAAGAACAAGAAAAUUACCAGCGAACAGCCAUAAUCAGACAAACAACCAAGAAAACCAUCAGCGAACAGCCAUAAUCAGACAAACAACCAAGACAACCAUCAGCGAACAGCCAUAAUCAGACAAACAAUCAAGAAAAACAUCAGAGAACAGCCAUAAUCAGACAAACAACCAAGACAACCAUCAGCGAACAGCCAUAAUCAGACAAACAACCAAGAAAAUUACCAGCGAACGCCAUAAUCAGACAAACAACCAAGAAAACCAUCAGCGAACAGCCAUAAUCAGACAAACAACCAAGACAACCAUCAGCGAACAGCCAUAAUCAGACAAACAACCAAGAAAACCAUCAGAGAACAGCCAUAAUCAGACAAACAACCAAGACAACCAUCAGCGAACAGCCAUAAUCAGACAAACAACCAAGAAAACCAUCAGCGAACAGCCAUAAUCAGACAAACAACCAAGACAACCAUCAGAGAACAGCCAUAAUCAGACAAACAACCAAGAAAACCAUCAGAGAACAACCAUAAUCAGACAAACAACCAAGACAACCAUCAGCGAACAGCCAUAAUCAGACAAACAACCAAGACAACCAUCAGCGAACAGCCAUAAUCAGACAAACAACCAAGACAACCAUCAGCGAACAGCCAUAAUCAGACAAACAACCAAGACAACCAUCAGCGAACAGCCAUAAUCAGACAAACAACCAAGAAAACAAUCAGCGAACAGCCAUAAUCAGACAAACAACCAAGACAACCAUCAGCGAACAGCCAUAAUCAGACAAACAACCAAGACAACCAUCAGCGAACAGCCAUAAUCAGACAAACAACCAAGACAACCAUCAGCGAACAGCCAUAAUCAGACAAACAACCAAGACAACCAUCAGAGAACAGCCAUAAUCAGACAAACAACCAAGACAACCAUCAGCGAACAGCCAUAAUCAGACAAACCACCAAGAAAACCAUCAGAGAACAGCCAUAAUCAGACAAACAACCAAGACAACCAUCAGCGAACAGCCAUAAUCAGACAAACAACCAAGAAAACCAUCAGCGAACAGCCAUAAUCAGACAAACAACAAAGACAACCAUCAGAGAACAGCCAUAAUCAGACAAACAACCAAGAAAACCAUCAGAGAACAACCAUAAUCAGACAAACAACCAAGACAACCAUCAGCGAACAGCCAUAAUCAGACAAACAACCAAGACAACCAUCAGCGAACAGCCAUAAUCAGACAAACAACCAAGACAACCAUCAGCGAACAGCCAUAAUCAGACAAACAACCAAGACAACCAUCAGCGAACAGCCAUAAUCAGACAAACAACCAAGACAACCAUCAGCGAACAGCCAUAAUCAGACAAACAACCAAGAAAACAAUCAGCGAACAGCCAUAAUCAGACAAACAACCAAGACAACCAUCAGCGAACAGCCAUAAUCAGACAAACAACCAAGACAACCAUCAGCGAACAGCCAUAAUCAGACAAACAACCAAGAAAACCAUCAGCGAACAGCCAUAAUCAGACAAACAACCAAGACAACCAUCAGCGAACAGCCACAAUCAGACAAACAACCAAGAAAACCAUCAGCGAACAGCCAUAAUCAGACAAACAACAAAGACAACCAUCAGAGAACAGCCAUAAUCAGACAAACAACCAAGAAAACCAUCAGAGAACAACCAUAAUCAGACAAACAACCAAGACAACCAUCAGCGAACAGCCAUAAUCAGACAAACAACCAAGACAACCAUCAGCGAACAGCCAUAAUCAGACAAACAACCAAGACAACCAUCAGCGAACAGCCAUAAUCAGACAAACAACCAAGACAACCAUCAGCGAACAGCCAUAAUCAGACAAACAACCAAGACAACCAUCAGCGAACAGCCAUAAUCAGACAAACAACCAAGAAAACAAUCAGCGAACAGCCAUAAUCAGACAAACAACCAAGACAACCAUCAGCGAACAGCCAUAAUCAGACAAACAACCAAGACAACCAUCAGCGAACAGCCAUAAUCAGACAAACAACCAAGACAACCAUCAGCGAACAGCCAUAAUCAGACAAACAACCAAGACAACCAUCAGAGAACAGCCAUAAUCAGACAAACAACCAAGACAACCAUCAGAGAACAGCCAUAAUCAGACAAACAACCAAGACAACCAUCAGCGAACAGCCAUAAUCAGACAAACAACCAAGAAAACCAUCAGCGAACAGCCAUAAUCAGACAAACAACCAAGAAAACCAUCAGCGAACAGCCACAAUCAGACAAACAACCAAGAUAACCAUCAGCGGACAGCCAUAAUCAGACAAACAACCAAGAAAACCAUCAGCGAACAGCCAUAAUCAGACAAAAAACAACCCCCCCAA